This is a long non-coding RNA of Cyprinus carpio (common carp), 1211 nucleotides long. RefSeq lists it as uncharacterized. The transcript has 3 exons. Lineage: Eukaryota; Metazoa; Chordata; Actinopteri; Cypriniformes; Cyprinidae. The record is from RefSeq and is a predicted model, not a curated record.
UUAAGUGAUGUAGAUGCUAAGUUAAAAAAGCCAUCGCCGGCCCCUUUAUAUGUGUUUAACCCCGCUUCCACACUAACCUUCAGUCUGUAAGCCGCUCAGCAGGGUCCAUUACAUCUAAGUGUGAAUAAUUCAUGCUCUGGAUGCUGUGGCAUGAAGAAAGAAAGUCAUACAAGUUUGGAACAACAUUAGGAUUCAGAUGCUCUGGCAUCUGGAGGCCAGGAUCUGUAGCAUGUGUUUUGUGUGAGAACGCUGGCCACUUUGCUGGGUGCCCGGCUGAUGCCUCAUCAAAAAUGGUUCUGUUUUUUUUCUCACCCCUUCUUGGAAAGGAUUGCGUGGGUUAACACCGAACGUAGAGAGGCAUCGUGGAGUGGCAGGCACAUAAAAUGGCAAUUAAACUGCGAUGACCCCCGUCGCCUCCGCAGGUCGUUCACUGUCACGGUGUCGGCUGAAAAGAAGAGAAAGGAUGCAAACGAGUGCAUGGCAGUGGAUAUGAUAUGUGUUUCUCCUACAGCUAUAUAACCUGCAAAUCUUACAAACCAGAGCAUCAGACAAUCCCAAACUGUGCCAUCUUACUUAUGUGUACUGACAACAGAGUGUAUCCAGGGAAGCAGGGCAUGUUGGGACGCAAAGGGGCUGUAACAACAUUGCAGACUCGUUCUUAAAUACAGCAACAAGCACUUAGUUUGACAAGGCGCUGACAGAAGCGCACACGACUUGGGCUUAACGUGGUGACAGCCUAAACUGAGGUGUGUUCACUCCCCCGAGGCAGAAGACACUUGAGGAAGAAAAAAAAAAAAAAACAUUGCGAUAUGAGAUGAUGCUAGUUGUGCACAAUAAAUGUUUAUUGGGAUUUAUUGCACUGCUAUGACAUCCUGGCUGAAAGCUUUCAGUUACUAAAUGAGGGAGAAUUAGCUGUUGCAUUUAGAAGCUUUAAAUAGCACUAAGGAAGGAGGGAACACAUGGGCAAGGAAUUACACUAUGUCUGCAUGUCUCAUUUAAAGUCCAUGUAAAAAAAUAUGCAUAUGUGAGCGUAUAUCCAACAGCAUCGAUACAGUAUAAGAAGACCUUCAAAAUUCUGCACUAAUGCCAAAGAAUAGGGGAUUAAUGAAUGAUCCAUGACCUCAUUGGCCUCGAGAGAGUUUUUCAAAGUGACUAAAUGCUCUGGAGCAGAAUGACAGGCACUGGAUGCUUCUGCCAUUUAUUAAAUUAUU